UACAACUUUCAGCAACGGAUCUCUUGGCUCUCGCAUCGAUGAAGAACGCAGCGAAUUGCGAUAAGUAAUGUGAAUUGCAGAUUUUCAGUGAAUCAUCGAUCUUGACGCA
Molecule: ribosomal RNA, 109 nt
Filed under: Rugiboletus extremiorientalis
Lineage: Eukaryota; Fungi; Basidiomycota; Agaricomycetes; Boletales; Boletaceae
Description: partial 5.8S ribosomal RNA
Rfam family: 5.8S ribosomal RNA
About the family: 5.8S ribosomal RNA (5.8S rRNA) is a component of the large subunit of the eukaryotic ribosome. It is transcribed by RNA polymerase I as part of the 45S precursor that also contains 18S and 28S rRNA.
Source: RNAcentral